Molecule: ribosomal RNA, 254 nt
Filed under: uncultured bacterium
Lineage: Bacteria
Description: partial 16S ribosomal RNA
Rfam family: Bacterial small subunit ribosomal RNA
Source: RNAcentral
UACGAAGGGGGGCUAGCGUUGUUCGGAAUUACUGGGCGUAAAGCGCACGUAGGCGGAUAUUUAAGUCAGGGGUGAAAUCCCAGAGCUCAACUCUGGAACUGCCUUUGAUACUGGGUGUCUUGAGUUCGGAAGAGGUGAGUGGAAUUGCGAGUGUAGAGGUGAAAUUCGUAGAUAUUCGCAGGAACACCAGUGGCGAAGGCGGCUCACUGGUCCGAUACUGACGCUGAGGUGCGAAAGCGUGGGGAGCAAACAGG